Non-coding RNA from Caenorhabditis elegans, 122 nucleotides. Lineage: Eukaryota; Metazoa; Nematoda; Chromadorea; Rhabditida; Rhabditidae. The record is from Ensembl.
UUUAGGCUUAGGCUUAGGCUCAGGUUUAAGCUCAGGCAUAGGCUUAGGCUUAGGCUUAGGUUUAAGUUUGGGCUUAGAUUUAGGAUUCGGCUUAGUCUCAGGCUUGAAUUUAGGCUUACCUU